This 494-nucleotide ribosomal RNA is filed under the name uncultured bacterium. RNAcentral's name for it is "bacterial SSU rRNA". It matches the Rfam family "Bacterial small subunit ribosomal RNA", at positions 34 to 518 of the family's 1533-position model. The record is from RNAcentral.
CGCUAGCUACAGGCUUAACACAUGCAAGUCGAGGGGCAGCGAGAGGAAAGCUGCUUCCUUGUCGGCGACCGGCGCACGGGUGAGUAACGCGUAUCCAACCUCCCCAUAGUAGAGGAUAGCCCGGCGAAAGUCGGAUUAAUACUCUAUGUUGUGUCAUGAGGACAUCUGAAUAACACCAAAGAUUUUAUCGCUAUGGGAUGGGGAUGCGUCUGAUUAGCUUGUCGGCGGGGUAACGGCCCACCGAGGCGACGAUCAGUAGGGGUUCUGAGAGGAAGGUCCCCCACAUUGGUACUGAGACACGGACCAAACUCCUACGGGAGGCAGCAGUGAGGAAUAUUGGUCAAUGGACGAGAGUCUGAACCAGCCAAGUAGCGUGCAAGGAUGACUGCCCUAUGGGUUGUAAACUGCUUUUAUGCGGGAAUAAAGUCAGGUACGUGUACCUGUUUGUAUGUACCGCAUGAAUAAGGACCGGCUAAUUCCGUGCCAGCCGCCGC